RNAcentral lists this ribosomal RNA (479 nucleotides) under uncultured bacterium. Its description in RNAcentral is "SSU rRNA". It matches the Rfam family "Bacterial small subunit ribosomal RNA", at positions 26 to 518 of the family's 1533-position model. The record is from RNAcentral.
AGGAUGAACGCUAGCGGCAGGCUUAAUACAUGCAAGUCGAGGGGCAGCGGGGGUAGCAAUACCUGCCGGCGACCGGCAAACGGGUGCGGAACACGUACACAACCUUCCCUUUAGUGGGGGAUAGCCCAGAGAAAUUUGGAUUAAUACCCCGUAACAUUGUUAAGUGGCAUCACUUGAUAAUUAAAGCUCCGGCGCUGGAGGAUGGGUGUGCGUCUGAUUAGGUAGUUGGUAGGGUAACGGCCCACCAAGCCAACGAUCAGUAACUGGUGUGAGAGCACGACCAGUCACACGGGCACUGAUACACGGCCCAGACUCCUACGGGAGGCAGCAGUGGGGAAUUUUCCGCAAUGGGCGAAAGCCUGACGGAGCAAUGCCGCGUGGAGGUAGAAGGCCCACGGGUCGUAAACUCCUUUUCUCAGAGAAGAAGCAAUGACGGUAUCUGAGGAAUAAGCAUCGGCUAACUCUGUGCCAGCAGCCGC